GAAUCGCGAUAGGAAUUGCGAAUUGCAGAAUUCAGUGAAUCAUCGUAACUUUGAACGCAAACUGCGCUUGGGGGUUGACCCCGAGCAUGCCUCUUUGAGUGUCGGUCAACUCGUCUUGUUGAUUUUCAACAGGGAACUGGGAGUUUUUCAAUCUCCUCAAGCAAGAGUCCCCGCAAGGGAGUGGUCUCUGUGGUUGUCUUGCAGUCACGGCGAGUGGAGCUGAUUUUUUCAAUUCACGAGCGACUGGAUGAUUUCCGUCAGAGGACAUAGCACUCGGCUUCAAAAGUGGUGACUUUUCGGAGAAACCCAUUUGACAUUCCUGACCAACGACCUCAAAUGAGGUAGGAUUACCCGCUGAACUUAA
This 364-nucleotide unclassified non-coding RNA is filed under the name uncultured fungus. RNAcentral describes it as "sequence contains ITS1". The stretch from base 1 to 104 matches the Rfam family "5.8S ribosomal RNA", at positions 50 to 154 of the family's 154-position model. The record is from RNAcentral. Lineage: Eukaryota; Fungi.